This 133-nucleotide non-coding RNA is filed under the name Fusarium oxysporum f. sp. lycopersici 4287. RNAcentral describes it as "Fusarium oxysporum f. sp. lycopersici eukaryotic small subunit ribosomal RNA". It matches the Rfam family "Eukaryotic small subunit ribosomal RNA", at positions 985 to 1112 of the family's 1831-position model. Lineage: Eukaryota; Fungi; Ascomycota; Sordariomycetes; Hypocreales; Nectriaceae. The record is from Rfam by way of RNAcentral.
GAAAGUUAGGGGAUCGAAGACGAUCAGAUACCGGUCGUAGUCUUAACCAUAAAACUAUGCCAGACUAGGGAUCGGACGGUGUUUAUUUUUAUGACCCGGUUCGGCACCUUACGAGAAAUCAAAGUGCUUGGGC